CAUAUUAUUAAGCGGAGGAAAAGAAAAUAACAAUGAUUCCCCCAGUAACGGCGAGUGAACAGGGAUAAGCCCAGCACCGAAGCCGAUGGAAUAUUUUCAUACGGCAAUGUGGUGUUUCAGCGUUGCAGCUGCUGGUAUGCACGGUCGUCUAAUUCGUCUUGAUUGCUCUUGCCCAUCGAGGGUGAAAGUCCUUUUGAGACGGCAUUCGUAUGCAUGCCAUGCUUUGCAAUGCUGUUGAGUCGGGCUGCUUGAAAAAGCAGCCUAAAGUAGGUGGUAAACAUCACCGAAGGCUAAAUAUGUGCGCGGGACCGAUAGUUCACAAGUACCGUGAGGGAAAGUUGAAAAGAACUCUGAAAAGAGGGUUAAAAGUACGUGAAACCGCUAACAGGUAAACGGGCAACGUCCGCAAGUCCUCCAAGAAAAUCCAUGCCUUCCCAGCUUCAUUUUACUUGAUCUCGGUUUGUGACUGAGGCCAUGCUUGUCGGUUAGAUCGGCUUACAUCCGCUCCGGGUGCAAGUCCCUAGUUGACACUUGGCUUCGGUGCGUUGUUGUCAUAAACGCCGAGAUCAUGAUCUUAUGAUUAUGUACCAGGGAGGGCUGUACCUUUUCUAGGAGGUGCGUCGCAACCGUCACUUGGAUGACCAGACGAACGAAGAGAGCUGCGGUAGCUCACCAUGGCUCGUUCUCGUGCCAACUUUGGUGUUCAACCGUUUACAAACUUCGUUACUCAACGAAUGGAGCAACACGCCACGCCCUGGCUUUAACACUCCAAUGAACGUCAACAGGUCUUCAGUGACRACAAAUCAAUUCAAUAUUCCAUGCGGUUGAUUGAUGCGCUUACCCAUGUAUACGCUCGAUCUCAGCUGGUUGCAACAAAUACGUGUUCGUCGAGUAUGUUUCCCUUGCGGUUACAACUCGAAAAGUUGUUUUGGAGCUUUCGUAUAACGAAAGCCCGGCAAUCGAUCACGAAUGUUACACAUGCGCAAGCAUGUUGUUGUAAUCUUCAGACUGAAAUACCGUUGGAGCUGGUACGCCUCAACCUGGGGCAACCAACCUCUGCUGUUUGAUGUGAUCUCAACGGUUACGUCAAGCAUAACUCAGGAUGAAUCGAUUGCGGCGAGUUGGCGACUUCGUUUCCCGCCCCGUCUUGAAACACGGACCAAGGAGUGUAGCAUGUGCGCGAGUUGGAUGGGCCAUCAACCCCUCAAGCGCAAUGAAAGUGAAGACGAAUGGCUAGCAUGGAUGCGCGUGCUUCCGCAUGUGUAUACAUUGCUGCCACCGUUGAGACGCGAUACUUGGCUUAACCAGUGUCAAGUGGCAGCGUCAACCCGCAUUAUUCGGCAUCAUUCCAUGUUUGCACCGGCUUCUGCUGAUGUGAGCAUGAGUGGUUGUCCUAGAUUAUGCGGAGUUAGAGCGUACAUGCUGCGACCCGAAAGAUGGUGAUCUAUGCGUGGCGAAGUCGAAGCCGAAGGAAACUUUGGUGGAGGACUGUAGCGAUUCUGACGUGCAAAUCGAUCGUCGCAGCUGCGUAUAGGGGCGAAAGACUAAUCGAACCAUCUUGUAGCUGGUUCCCCUCGAAGUUUCCCUCAGGAUAGCUGGCGCUUGCUCGCUUUAUGUAGUUUUAUCCGGUAAAGCGAAUGAUUAGAGGCAUUGGGGACACUGCGACCUCAACCUAUUCUCAAACUUUCAAUGGUUAAGCUUCCCGCUUUCCCCAACAGAAAGCGGUUGCUGUUGCCUACGUGGGCUCAGCUGUGCUUCAUUCACGUGAGUCGCAGUUGGGCUUGCAAAGCAAUCAGCAAAUGCGGUGACGCGCAUGAAUGCUUCAAGUGCCUAGUGGGCCAUUUUUGGUAAGCAGAACUGGCGCUGUGGGAUGAACCAAACGCCCGGUUAAGGCGCCUAACAUUGACACUCAUGAGAUCCCACGAAAAGGUGUUGGUUGAUAGAGACAGCAGGUCGG
RNAcentral lists this ribosomal RNA (1957 nucleotides) under Xenotrichula velox. RNAcentral describes it as "partial 28S ribosomal RNA". It matches the Rfam family "Eukaryotic large subunit ribosomal RNA", at positions 39 to 1248 of the family's 3401-position model. Lineage: Eukaryota; Metazoa; Gastrotricha; Chaetonotida; Xenotrichulidae. The record is from RNAcentral.